AGAGUUUGAUCCUGGCUCAGGAUGAACGCUGGCGGCGUGCUUAACACAUGCAAGUCGAACGAUGAAGCUGGAGCUUGCUCUGGUGGAUUAGUGGCGAACGGGUGAGUAACACGUGAGCAACCUGCCCCUGACUCUGGGAUAACAGCCGGAAACGGCUGCUAAUACCGGAUAUGCACCAUGAACGCAUGUUCUGUGGUGGGAAAGAUUUUUCGGUUGGGGAUGGGCUCGCGGCCUAUCAGCUUGUUGGUGAGGUAAUGGCUCACCAAGGCGUCGACGGGUAGCCGGCCUGAGAGGGUGACCGGCCACACUGGGACUGAGACACGGCCCAGACUCCUACGGGAGGCAGCAGUGGGGAAUAUUGCACAAUGGGCGAAAGCCUGAUGCAGCAACGCCGCGUGAGGGAUGACGGCCUUCGGGUUGUAAACCUCUUUUAGCAGGGAAGAAGCGAGAGUGACGGUACCUGCAGAAAAAGCGCCGGCUAACUACGUG
This 489-nucleotide ribosomal RNA is filed under the name uncultured Microbacterium sp. RNAcentral's name for it is "bacterial SSU rRNA". It matches the Rfam family "Bacterial small subunit ribosomal RNA", at positions 8 to 507 of the family's 1533-position model. The record is from RNAcentral. Lineage: Bacteria; Bacillati; Actinomycetota; Actinomycetes; Micrococcales; Microbacteriaceae.